Molecule: unclassified non-coding RNA, 396 nt
Filed under: fungal sp.
Lineage: Eukaryota; Fungi
Description: partial internal transcribed spacer region
Rfam family: Eukaryotic small subunit ribosomal RNA (bases 1-46)
Source: RNAcentral
AAGUCGUAACAAGGUUUCCGUAGGUGAACCUGCGGAAGGAUCAUUAAUACGCUUUUGUUUGUAACAAAACAAAACGUUUUAAACCCCAAAAUUGAAAUAGUGGAAAUAUAACUUCCGGGUGCGAAUGUUGGGGAACUGAGUAACAUCGGUUCUUUGAAAAGGGACUUCAAGUAAAAUUGACACUUCAGAGUAGAGCAGUGAGGUGAAACUCGAAAGAGUUUGGUUCUGAAAAACAUUUGUAUCCGGUUAUCACAUCUGUUCUACCAAUUUAUCAAACAAUAAACCCCAUGUACAACAACUUGAACUAAACAUUUUUUUGUUGUCUGCUUCGCGGCAGAUGUGCAAAGAAAAACCUGAACUUAAGAACAACUCUUAACAACGGAUAUCUUGGUUCUC